This 513-nucleotide ribosomal RNA is filed under the name Notocrater sp. TT-2014. Its description in RNAcentral is "eukaryotic LSU rRNA". It matches the Rfam family "Eukaryotic large subunit ribosomal RNA", at positions 671 to 1161 of the family's 3401-position model. Lineage: Eukaryota; Metazoa; Mollusca; Gastropoda; Lepetellida; Pseudococculinidae. The record is from RNAcentral.
GAGUCCGGCGUGCGCGCGAGCCACGGGGACUUUUUUUUACGAAACCCAGAGGCUCAACGAAAGUGAUUUUGGGGCGCGAUCCCGUCGACGCUUCCAGUCGUCGGCGGGCGCAGCGCCGGCUUCCCUCGCUACGAGCUUGGGGUCGCCCGAGCGCGCACGGCGGGACCCGAAAGGUGGUGAACUAUGCCCGAGCAGGACGAAGGCAGGGGAAACUCUGGUGGAAGUCCGCAGCGGUUCUGACGUGCAAAUCGAUCGUCGGACUUGGGUAUAGGGGCGAAAGACUAAUCGAACCAUCUAGUAGCUGGUUCCCCCCGAAGUUUCCCGUAGGAUAGCUGGCGCUCGCGACUCAGUUUUAUCCGGUAAAGCGAAGGAUUAGAGCGAGCUGGGGCUAGUUGCCCUGGCACUAUUCUCAAACUUUAAAUGGGUAAGGAGCCGGCGCCCUUGAACGUGGGCGUCGGACGCGAAUGAGAGUGCCUAGUGGGCCACUUUUGGUAAGCAGAACUGNCGCUGUGG